RNAcentral lists this ribosomal RNA (997 nucleotides) under Escherichia coli. RNAcentral's name for it is "partial 23S ribosomal RNA". It matches the Rfam family "Bacterial large subunit ribosomal RNA", at positions 398 to 1396 of the family's 2925-position model. Lineage: Bacteria; Pseudomonadati; Pseudomonadota; Gammaproteobacteria; Enterobacterales; Enterobacteriaceae. The record is from RNAcentral.
UGUGAGCUCGAUGAGUAGGGCGGGACACGUGGUAUCCUGUCUGAAUAUGGGGGGACCAUCCUCCAAGGCUAAAUACUCCUGACUGACCGAUAGUGAACCAGUACCGUGAGGGAAAGGCGAAAAGAACCCCGGCGAGGGGAGUGAAAAAGAACCUGAAACCGUGUACGUACAAGCAGUGGGAGCCUCUUUAUGGGGUGACUGCGUACCUUUUGUAUAAUGGGUCAGCGACUUAUAUUCUGUAGCAAGGUUAACCGAAUAGGGGAGCCGAAGGGAAACCGAGUCUUAACUGGGCGUUAAGUUGCAGGGUAUAGACCCGAAACCCGGUGAUCUAGCCAUGGGCAGGUUGAAGGUUGGGUAACACUAACUGGAGGACCGAACCGACUAAUGUUGAAAAAUUAGCGGAUGACUUGUGGCUGGGGGUGAAAGGCCAAUCAAACCGGGAGAUAGCUGGUUCUCCCCGAAAGCUAUUUAGGUAGCGCCUCGUGAAUUCAUCUCCGGGGGUAGAGCACUGUUUCGGCAAGGGGGUCAUCCCGACUUACCAACCCGAUGCAAACUGCGAAUACCGGAGAAUGUUAUCACGGGAGACACACGGCGGGUGCUAACGUCCGUCGUGAAGAGGGAAACAACCCAGACCGCCAGCUAAGGUCCCAAAGUCAUGGUUAAGUGGGAAACGAUGUGGGAAGGCCCAGACAGCCAGGAUGUUGGCUUAGAAGCAGCCAUCAUUUAAAGAAAGCGUAAUAGCUCACUGGUCGAGUCGGCCUGCGCGGAAGAUGUAACGGGGCUAAACCAUGCACCGAAGCUGCGGCAGCGACACUAUGUGUUGUUGGGUAGGGGAGCGUUCUGUAAGCCUGCGAAGGUGUGCUGUGAGGCAUGCUGGAGGUAUCAGAAGUGCGAAUGCUGACAUAAGUAACGAUAAAGCGGGUGAAAAGCCCGCUCGCCGGAAGACCAAGGGUUCCUGUCCAACGUUAAUCGGGGCAGGGUGAGUCGACCCCUAAGG